UGGCAACGGGUGAGUAACACGUGGGCAACCUGCCCAAAAGAGGGGGAUAACACUUGGAAACAGGUGCUAAUACCGCAUAACCAUAGUUACCGCAUGGUAACUAUGUAAAAGGUGGCUAUACUACCGCUUUUGGAUGGGCCCGCGGCGCAUUAGCUAGUUGGUAGGGUAAAGGCUUACCAAGGCAAUGAUGCGUAGCCGAAUUGAGAGGUUGAUCGGCCACAUUGGGACUGAGACACGGCCCAAACUCCUACGGGAGGCAGCAG
RNAcentral lists this ribosomal RNA (263 nucleotides) under uncultured bacterium. Its description in RNAcentral is "partial 16S ribosomal RNA". It matches the Rfam family "Bacterial small subunit ribosomal RNA", at positions 96 to 354 of the family's 1533-position model. The record is from RNAcentral.